RNAcentral lists this long non-coding RNA (257 nucleotides) under Bos taurus (domestic cattle). Its description in RNAcentral is "long non-coding RNA NONBTAT025943". The record is from RNAcentral. Lineage: Eukaryota; Metazoa; Chordata; Mammalia; Artiodactyla; Bovidae.
CAAGCUUCAAAUUUGGAGAUUUGUAAGAGGGAAUUCAAUAUUAUUCUAAUUCCUCUCUUACAGAGUAUGAAUAAAAGGUGUAUACAAACUUUGAAGUUUGUCAAUCAAAAGAGUGAAAUAUUACAAGAGACUGUUGUUGUCAUGGUUUGAGUUGUAAUCAAUAUCUAGAGUCUGACCACUGAGCAACAAGAUUUUACAUACUGAUACGUGAUGUAAUCUCUAGAAUAAUCCAGGAAGAUUUUAGCAUCCUUUCUACA